RNAcentral lists this ribosomal RNA (253 nucleotides) under uncultured bacterium. Its description in RNAcentral is "partial 16S ribosomal RNA". It matches the Rfam family "Bacterial small subunit ribosomal RNA", at positions 524 to 776 of the family's 1533-position model. The record is from RNAcentral.
UACGUAGGUGGCGAGCGUUGUUCGGAUUUAUUGGGCGUAAAGGGUUCGUAGGGGGUUUGCCAAGUCUGAUGUGAAAGCCCGGGGCUCAACCCCGGAACUGCAUUGGAAACUGGUGAACUGGAGUGUCGGAGAGGUAAGCGGAAUUUCUGGUGUAGCGGUGGAAUGCGUAGAUAUCAGAAAGAACACCGAUAGCGAAGGCAGCUUACUGGACGAUGACUGACCCUGAGGGACGAAAGCGUGGGUAGCGAACAGG